Humulus lupulus (European hop) is the source of this 107-nucleotide small nucleolar RNA. The record is from RefSeq and is a predicted model, not a curated record. NCBI's taxonomy places the organism in Eukaryota, Viridiplantae, Streptophyta, Magnoliopsida, Rosales, Cannabaceae.
AUGCCAUAAUGAGGGUAUUUGCGCAAAAACUCCUUAAAUCGUUCCCAUGCCUCAUAUAAAUAUUCUUCAUCAAGUUGCUGAAAUGAAGUAAUUUCGUUGCGGAGCUU